AGCCUACUAUUUGAGCUGGAUAAAGGGUCACCCUGCUAAGGUGAUGAUCGAGGGUUCAAGUCCCUUAAUACCUU
This 74-nucleotide transfer RNA is filed under the name Candidatus Woesearchaeota archaeon. Its description in RNAcentral is "tRNA-Ser". The stretch from base 8 to 66 matches the Rfam family "tRNA", at positions 8 to 63 of the family's 71-position model. From Rfam's summary of the family: Transfer RNA (tRNA) molecules are approximately 80 nucleotides in length. Lineage: Archaea; Nanobdellati; Candidatus Woesearchaeota. The record is from RNAcentral.